GGUUUUGGCUCAGUGGUAGAGCGCUCACUUUGCAUGCGUGAGGCCCUGGGUUCAAUCCUCAACACCA
Molecule: transfer RNA, 67 nt
Filed under: Marmota monax (woodchuck)
Lineage: Eukaryota; Metazoa; Chordata; Mammalia; Rodentia; Sciuridae
Description: tRNA.Ala
Source: RNAcentral